Xyrichtys novacula (pearly razorfish) is the source of this 5077-nucleotide non-coding RNA. Lineage: Eukaryota; Metazoa; Chordata; Actinopteri; Labriformes; Labridae. The record is from the annotation of a GenBank genome assembly.
GGUACAACACAUAUAGUAUGGGAUAUCACGCCCUCGCGUGGCCUGACUGAAGACAUCUUUAUUCACGCCUUUAAGGCAGAUGAUCUGUGGUGACGUCUGGGAGGCUCCGCCUGCACAUAUAUACGUGUAACACCACAGUCAUCCUUCAGUUCUUACGCUCUUCACCUCGCUGAGAACACCUACACCGAGUCGGGCUAACUAGCUGCUGCUAGCUCAGCCUGGUCUUGUCUGUGGCUAUUGCCUGAUCGUUUUUAGCUUAACUGCCAUUGUUGGUGUUAGCCUACGGCUACCCGCGGAGCGCUAAUUUCGUUCAGCUUUUGAGUCUCGUUAUGAGCUCUAAGCCCAUGAAGGUGAAGGCGAAGUCUUCUGGUCGCCCCUGUCCUCAGGGGUGCGGCUUCUCCCUUCACGAGAAGGAUCUCCAUGAGGCUUGUCCCGUUUGCCUGGGUAUUGUCCAUGCCAGGAGGGCGUUGACUGAGCCCGAGUCGUGUGAGUCCUGUCACCGGCUUCGGAGCUUAACCCUGGGAAGGCGGGUCAAGUUUGUGGAGAAAAUUCUAGGAAAAUCCGCUGUUGCAAUGCACGAUCCCCUCCUCUCCGAGUCCAGAGACCCGGCUUCGCCCGAGUCCAGUGGUGAGGUCUUUCUGGUCGAAGGCUCAGUUGGAAACUGGGCAGACCAUGUGGAGUGUGCUGAUGGGUCAGCUGGAUUUGAGCCGGGCCCGACCGAGGGCGCUGGCCAGCCGCUAUCCGGGCUAGCUUGUUACCAGGAAGACGAUGACGUGCUGGACAUCGGCUUGGACGUGCAGGGUUUUUCGGAGGAUGAGCAGGAGCCGUUGUCUUCGGGUCAGUAUGCCGCCGCUGCUGCGCCGGUUGAUCUGGACGACACAUCCCUCCUCUCACUGUACCGCCGUGCAGCUGAGAAACUGGAAGUAGGAUGGCCCUCUCCUCCACCGGCUCAAAAACCGUCGCGGUUCUCGGGGUUUUUUCUCCCACCCGAACCGACGACUGUUAAGAACAGUUUGCCCAUGUUCCCGGAUUUUGUCGCGGAUCUAACCUCAACAUGGGACAAGCCGCUGUCCACCCGCGCCACAGUGCCCGGUUGUGGAAAGUUUCUGGACCUGGAUGGAGAUGAAAAAGCUGGAUUGGUGAACCCUCCGCCUAUGGAGGCGUCCCUGGCAGCUUAUCUGGCCCCGGCCCAGAAUCAUGGUGUCGGUAGCCCCAUCACGCUCCCAUCCAAGCACUGCAGGUUUUCAGCGUCACAGCUGGAUAGAAUUUACAGGACACAGGCAAAUACGGCUCGUGUACUGAGCUCCGUCACCAUGCUUCAGACAUAUCAAGCUAUGUGUCUGGCGGAACUCGGCUCGCGUAUGCGUCCUGACAGUCAGCUUUCUCCUCUCCUCAACGAAGCUAGCGUCGCCACAGAUUACAUCCUCCGUGUGUCCCGCUGUGCAGCGCUCUCUCUCGGUAGAGGCAUGGCUUCCACGGUGGUGGCGCAGAGGCACCUGUGGCUGACUCUCUCCGACGUUCCGGAGAGGGACAAAGCGGUUUAUCUCGACGAGCCUGUGUCGGCCAGCGGUUUGUUUGGGCAGUCCCUCGACGACAUUCAGGCUAAGUUUGAGCUGAGGAAAAAACAAACCGAAGCUUUGAGCAGCAUCAUCCCCAGGCGUGAUGCGAGGCCCAAACAACAGGGUUAUCCGCACAAACCGGCAGAGACGCUGCCGCCCUUCAUUUUUUGCCGCCAAAGAGGCCGCGUUUAAUGUUUGUUCAGGGGUCCGGUCCCGAGAGGCGCUGCACUCCCUUAACACAGUUUUCCCAAGCACAAUCCUCCCUCACACACAUGCCCAAGUAAUGGCGCCUGUUGUUCACUGAGUGAAUGUUACAAAUGUGCGUUCGUCGAGUCUGAUAGAGGUUCCGUUUUGUUCUCAAAACAUCAUAAAUCAAUCAAGUCUGGGCGGGAAAGUACUGCUGUUCCCAGCCGGCACGCUAGAGGGCGACAACCCCUCCCCCACAGUACUGGGGGUCAGUCGACUGACUGUUCGUCUCCCUCGGUGGUGCGCAUGCGCAGUCUCACUGUGGGUAGAGAGAACCGUUGCCAUGGGCUACCGUAUACAGUUCGGGGCCCGGCCGCCUCGCUUUCACACUGUAAUACACACAGUUGUAGCAGAGGAAGCAGCAGUGCUGAGGGAAGAAAUAAACAACUUGUUGAACAAGAGAGCGAUAUGAGUUGUCCCCGCUUCGGAAACGAACAAAGGUUGGUACAGCCGCUAUUUCGUUGUUCCGAAAAGAGGAGGAGGGCUCCGUCCUAUCCUAUCCUAGACUUGCGAGUGUUAAACAAAUACCUACGAACUUACAGGUGCAAGAUGCUAACACUCAGACAGCUACUGGGCGAAAUCAGACCGGGAGAUUGGUUUACAACUAUCGAUCUGACAGAUGCUUACUUUCAUGUAGCGAUUCAUCCGGACCACAGGCACUUUCUAAGGUUUGCAUUCGAGGGCAUAGCCUACGAAUACCUGGUGCUGCCGUUCGGCUUAUCACUCGCCCCCGAACAUUCACCAAAUGUGUCGAGGUGGCAUUGGCUCCACUAAGGGAGAAAGAUGUGCGCAUCUAAGCCUAUCUGGACGACUGGGUGCUAAUCGCUGAGCGCGAGCUCCAGAGAGCGAGCAGCGGCUCAGCUGUCAUUGACCCUAUCGCACAACCAAACACUGGGCUUUUCAGUAAAUUUACAGAAAAGUUCACUGACUCCGAGUCAACAGGUAUCAUUUCUCGGGCUGGAAAUAUGCUCCGUUUCAAGCCGAGCGUGUCUGUCAGAACGCAGGGUGGCUGCGUUUCACCGCUGCCUUGCACAAUUUCAGUUGGGACGCAAACUGUGUUUCCGGACGAUUUUACAGCUGACAGGCAUGAUGGCAUCUAUGAUCGCUGUAGUGCCGCUCGGACUGUUAAAAAUGAAAGCGUUUCAACGCUGGACUCAGUCUCACCGGCUGUGCGCGCAGCGUCACCUCCAGAGGAGGCUGACGAUAACUCCGUCUUGCAUGUCGGCUCUUCUCCCGUGGAGAGAACCCGGUUUUCUACAACGGGGAUCUCCGAUAGGGAGGGUGUCUUUUCACAAGGUGGUGUCCACAGACUCAUCCCUGAGGGGUCGGGGGGCUCUGUGCGAGGGCGCAGCAGUGAGAGGUGUGUGGACGCCAGCAUAAUGCAAGCUCCACAUCAAUUACCUGGAGCUAUUAGCUAUCCUAUUAGCUCUGAGGCAUUUUCGUCCGGGUCUGACGGGCCAUCAGGUUCUGAUCGGGACGGAAAAAACACAACCAUGGUUUCCUACAUAAACAAACAGGGAGGGACAUGCUCUCCCCCUGUUAAAACUGUCUCACUCUCAGUUGCUAUGGUGCAGUGUUCAUUUUCUGUCACUCAGAGCCACACAUAUUCUGGGUCACUUAAACCUUGGGCCAGACCUUCUCUCCAGGGGGGUCGUCUUGUGAGAGAGUAGAGAUUGCAUGUCAGGACCGAAAUGUACUCCCAUUUCAAAGUUCUAUUGUGGAUGUUUUAACAUUCCUUCAGGAGCGGCUGGAUAGGGGUCUCUAUUUCUCAACAAUUAAGGUCUAUUUGGCGGCUAUAUCUGCAUGCCAUGUUGGCUUAGAUGGUGUGUCGCCAGGCGCUCACCCUCUUACUAUGCACUUCCUUAAGGGAGUCCGCAGGCUGAGACCUGUGUUUAAACCCAGUGUUCCCUCAUGGGAUUUAGGGUUGGUGCUUGGGGCUCUUGGUGGACCUCAUUUGAGACUGUUGAGUCAGCAGACAUGAAAUUUCUUUCAUACAAAACUGCACUGCUACUUGCUUUGGCGAGUGGGUGACCUUCAUGCUUUGUGCAUCCCUUUUGUAUCCAGUUCACUCUGGAUGGAUCUAAGGUUACAUUGCGCCCAAAUGCAGCAUAUUUGCCUAAGAUUAUCCUCACAGCCUAUAGCUCUAUGAGUUUUGAACUACUGAGCUUCUGCCGUCCUCCAUUUGCAUCUGAGGAGCAGAGGAGGUUGCAUUCCUUGUGCCCUGUGCGUGCACUACGCACUUACAUAGACCGCACUCAGAGUGUGCGUUUAUGUUACCAGUUGUUUGUCUGUUUUGCUAAUCCAGCCUAAGGCAAGGCACUGUCUAAACAGCAGCUUUCCUGCUGGAUUGUGGAGGCUAUCUCCUUAGCAUACGGCAGCAGGGGUCUUCCGUUGCCCCAAGGUGUGAGGGCACAUUCAACCAGGGGAAUGGCAGCCUCUUGGGCCUUGUUUAAAGGGGUUUCUGUGAGUGAUAUCUGCACUGCAGCCAGUUGAUCAUCACCGCACAGUUUUGUUCGGUUUUAUUGUUUGGAUUGGACAGCCCUUUCAGUGGCUCACUCUGUCCUUUCUGCUGGGUCUACAGUGCACUAAAGUUUUGGAGGUUUGACUUCGGUUCGGUGGCUGCUCUGUGGGGCGUGUAUAUAUGUCCCAUACUAUAUGUGUUGUACCGAGUGAAUUGACUGAAAGGGAACGAAAUGUUAUGAAUAUAACUUCUGUUCCCUGAAGGAGAGGAACGAGGUACAACACUAGGUUGCCCCACUGCGCAGCUAGGCUCGGUGAAGAGCGGCUAUCGAACUGAAGGAUGACUGUGGUGUUACACGUAUAUAUGUGCAGGCGGAGCCUCCCAGACGUCACCACAGAUCAUCUGCCUUAAAGGCGUGAAUAAAGGUGUCUUCAGUCAGGCCACGCGAGGGCGUGAUAUCCCAUACUAUAUGUGUUGUACCUCGUUCCUCUCCUUCAAGGAACAGAAGUUAUAUUCAUAACAUUUCGUUUUCUUUUCUCGGUCGCUUUUCUGGAUACAGAGGAGGAAGAGAGAACUGCGAGUGGAGGAUCUAUGUGGAUAUUUUCCAUAAACAAGGUGUAAACUCUUGAUGUGAGGCACCAUCUGGAGCUGUGAUGUUAUUUUUUAAAGGACUUCCAGGAGCCCGGACUCCGGCCGUUCAUUGAAGCUGGGAGAAGUAGAAGUUUUAUUUUCCAGAGGAGAGCUCCUACUGAAGGGAAUGCAGCUGUAGUUGUAAGGACUGUCUUCCUCGAUUUCGCAGUGCUGAUGUUGC